Molecule: ribosomal RNA, 348 nt
Filed under: uncultured bacterium
Lineage: Bacteria
Description: bacterial SSU rRNA
Rfam family: Bacterial small subunit ribosomal RNA
Source: RNAcentral
AGAGUUUGAUCCUGGCUCAGAUUGAACGCUGGCGGCAUGCUUUACACAUGCAAGUCGAGCGGCAGCACAGGGAGCUUGCUCCCGGGUGGCGAGUGGCGCACGGGUGAGUAAUACAUCGGAACGUGUCCUGUUNUGGGGGGAUAACUGCUCGAAAGGGUGGCUAAUACCGCAUGAGACCUGAGGGUGAAAGCGGGGGAUCGUAAGACCUCGCGCAAUUGGAGCGGCCGAUGCCCGAUUAGCUAGUUGGUGAGGUAAAGGCUCACCAAGGCGACGAUCGGUAGCUGGUCUGAGAGGACGACCAGCCACACUGGGACUGAGACACGGCCCAGACUCCUACGGGAGGCAGCA